Molecule: RNA transcript, 1402 nt
Organism: Juglans regia (Persian walnut)
Lineage: Eukaryota; Viridiplantae; Streptophyta; Magnoliopsida; Fagales; Juglandaceae
Exons: 3
Source: RefSeq, a predicted model, not a curated record
UCUCUCUCAUGGCUGCAAUCCGGCCCGUUAUAAUGGGCGAACCGAGUUUGAGUCCUUUUCCUCAGCAUCAGGUUUCGGCUCCAGAUAUGACCCCUGUUCCUUUUCCGGUUCAGCCUUUGCCUCCAUCUGCAGUGUCGUCCACUUCUUCUGGCAUUUCAAAACAGUUGAUGCACAAGAACCGUUUGCAGGAAUACACUCAAAAGUCUGCAAUUUUGCGAUAAUUGUACUGCUAAUGAGGGGUCUCAACAUGCACUAUUUAGGUCGACUAUGACUGUGGACGGGAAAUUUAUACUUCUCCCAACACGUUUUCACAUCGAAAAGCAGCUGUGCAAGAUGGUAGCCAAACUUGCACUCGAAAACAUAUUACAAAAGAUAAAGAAUGAAGGUUGCCCUCUCAUUCAUCAGUUGAACUUGGGUGAAGUAUAUGUUUUCCCGUCCACAGUCACAGUCAACCUAAAUUGCGGUGCAUGUUGAGACCCCACAUUAGCAGUGCAAUACAAUGGAAGCGAAGUUGCAGACCGUUGAGCGUAUUCCAGCUAACCUGUGUUUUACAAUUUUUCUAUACUCCCUGGCUGUCUGGCUAUAAUCCCUCCCUUUGAUACUUAUUUGUAAUCAUUCUACACAUCAUGGGGAUGUUCGUAUCAUGCCAUAUCUAGUUGCGUAGUUUAUUUCUUUCAAUGUCAAUACAGCCUAGUGAAGAUGCUUGUAUUGCUUAUUUCUAUUGAAUUACCUUUCUCUCAUUAGCCAUUGAAUACCCUGAAUAUCUUCCUUGCCAUUCUUGUUCUGUGCAUAAAGUAAUGUAGUUCUUUUAUACCUUUUUGGGUUGCUGAAUUGUAAGUUAACUUCUUGUGAGAUUUUGCAGGAUGCCGAUUGCUACCUUGCCAGUGAAUCAAGCCCCAUCGUGUUCAGUAGCCCAGUAAACAAAAUAACUUGCGUCUUACUGUAUAUGUAUUUCGUUUGGGGUGAAAAAAAAGCCUUUCAUAUAGGAUUUUGUUGGACAUUAUAAAACCUCCUUGUUUUGCACUCCUUAGUUAGAUCUUUUAUUUGAUUUUUUUUUUUUUCCUGAUCUGUGUAACUUCUUCGCUACCUUGUCAGUGUUGCCGCAUCAAGUGGUUGCUUAUAAGUCCUCAACAGAACUGUGACUUGAGUUUACAGUCUUCAGUGUAUAAGCAAGUAUUCCGACUAGGCCUUAUGACCCGAAGAUUCUGCUCUUUACCAAUUUGUUCUUUUUAUUUUUUUGCGCUGCCAAUAUUGUCUGCCAUCUUAGUUUUUACUGUGUUCAAUUAACUAUUUGAUGCUUACUUUGUAGGAUACGGUAUUUUGCAAGUCUAUCUUUCAUGAAUUUGCUGUCAAGAUGAAUCUGGAAAUGCCUACUUAUAACACUAUUCAACCACAAGGGCUG